UACGAAGGGUGCAAACGUUAUUCGGAAUCACUGGGCGUAAAGGGCGCGUAGGCGGCGUUUUAAGUCGGGGGUGAAAGCCUGUGGCUCAACCACAGAAUGGCCUUCGAUACUGGGACGCUUGAGUAUGGUAGAGGUUGGUGGAACUGCGAGUGUAGAGGUGAAAUUCGUAGAUAUUCGCAAGAACACCGGUGGCGAAGGCGGCCAACUGGACCAUUACUGACGCUGAGGCGCGAAAGCGUGGGGAGCAAACAGG
This 253-nucleotide ribosomal RNA is filed under the name uncultured bacterium. RNAcentral's name for it is "partial 16S ribosomal RNA". It matches the Rfam family "Bacterial small subunit ribosomal RNA", at positions 524 to 776 of the family's 1533-position model. The record is from RNAcentral.